GAUGAACGCUGGCGGCGUGCCUAAUACAUGCAAGUCGAGCGAACACACGAGGAGCUUGCUCCUCUGACGUUAGCGGCGGACGGGUGAGUAACACGUGGAUAACCUACCUAUAAGACUGGGAUAACUUCGGGAAACCGGAGCUAAUACCGCAUAAUAUAUUAAACCGCAUGGUUCAAUAGUGAAAGACGGUUUUGCUGUCACUUAUAGCUGGAUCCGCGCCGCAUUAGUUAUUUGGUAAGGUAACGGCUUACCAAGGCAACGAUGCGUAGCCGACCUGAUAGGGUGAUCGGCAAACCUGGACCUGAGACACGGUCCAGACCCCUACGGGAGGAACCAGUAGGAAACUUCGGGCAUUGGGCGAAAGCCUGCCGGAGAAAGGCGCGGUGGUGGAUGAAGGUUUCCGGAUGGUAAACUCCUUUUUAUGGGAAAGAACAGAUGUAGAAUUAAAAAUUCACGUUGUGACGGUAGCUAACCAGAAAGCCACGGCUAACUACGUG
RNAcentral lists this ribosomal RNA (497 nucleotides) under uncultured bacterium. RNAcentral describes it as "partial 16S ribosomal RNA". It matches the Rfam family "Bacterial small subunit ribosomal RNA", at positions 28 to 507 of the family's 1533-position model. The record is from RNAcentral.